Molecule: non-coding RNA, 90 nt
Organism: Mycena rosella
Lineage: Eukaryota; Fungi; Basidiomycota; Agaricomycetes; Agaricales; Mycenaceae
Source: the annotation of a GenBank genome assembly
GACCCAGUGGUGGAUAGAUCAUGCCUGCCCCUCUUCACGGGUUCGCCACAGUUAAAGCAGGUGUCCCCGGUUCGAUUCCGGGUUGGGUCG